This 440-nucleotide ribosomal RNA is filed under the name uncultured bacterium. RNAcentral describes it as "partial 16S ribosomal RNA". It matches the Rfam family "Bacterial small subunit ribosomal RNA", at positions 338 to 795 of the family's 1533-position model. The record is from RNAcentral.
CCUACGGGUGGCAGCAGUGGGGAAUAUUGCACAAUGGGCGAAACCCUGAUGCAGCGACGCCGCGUGAGUGAAGAAGGAAUUCGGUAUGUAAAGCUCUAUCAGCAGGGAAGAAAAUGACGGUACCUGAGUAAGAAUCCCCGGCUAACUACGUGCCAGCAGCCGCGGUAAUACGUAGGGGGCACGCGUUAUCCGGAUUUACUGGGUGUAAAGGGAGCGUAGACGGCAGUGCAAGUCUGGAGUGAAAGGCGGGGGCUCAACCCCCGGACUGCUCUGGAAACUGUACGGCUGGAGUGCAGGAGAGGUAAGUGGAAUUCCUAGUGUAGCGGUGAAAUGCGUAGAUAUUAGGAGGAACACCAGUGGCGAAGGCGACUUACUGGACUGUAACUGACGUUGAGGCUCGAAAGCGUGGGGAGCAAACAGGAUUAGAUACCCGAGUAGUC